UGAAGAACAGACCUUGUGUAUUUCUUCACAUCCGACUCAGGCAACCCAUGACCACCGGAUUUCUUUAUAAGAUCAGCCAGGGUUCCUCCGGAAGCAUAUUCCAGCAAGAGAUUGUAAACCAUUUCGCCAUCCUUGUUGAUUGUAAUUUCUUCGCCAUAACACUCGAGAAUAUAUGGACAACCAUAAAGAUGGUUGAAGACCUCUUUCUCCUUCUGAAGCGAACUUGAAACGGAGACCUCCGCUGAUUUCACCGCCAUAACCGGCGGAUAUAUUCUGUUUCUUGAUUUG
This 288-nucleotide unclassified non-coding RNA is filed under the name Hevea brasiliensis (rubber tree). Lineage: Eukaryota; Viridiplantae; Streptophyta; Magnoliopsida; Malpighiales; Euphorbiaceae. The record is from RNAcentral.